GCCGAGGUGGCGGAAUAGGCAGACGCGCUGCGUUCAGGGCGCAGUGGGCAGUGGCUCGUGUGGGUUCAAAUCCCACCCUCGGCACCA
RNAcentral lists this transfer RNA (87 nucleotides) under Anaerolineae bacterium. Its description in RNAcentral is "tRNA-Leu". It matches the Rfam family "tRNA". Rfam says of the family: Transfer RNA (tRNA) molecules are approximately 80 nucleotides in length. The record is from RNAcentral. Lineage: Bacteria; Bacillati; Chloroflexota; Anaerolineae.